GACGAACGCUGGCGGCAGGCCUAACACAUGCAAGUCGAACGCCGUAGCAAUACGGAGUGGCAGACGGGUGAGUAACACGUGGGAACGUACCCUUCGGUUCGGGAUAACUCAGGGAAACUUGAGCUAAUACCGGAUACGUCCGAGAGGAGAAAGAUUUAUCGCCGAGGGAUCGGCCCGCGUCUGAUUAGCUUGUUGGUGAGGUAACGGCUCACCAAGGCGACGAUCAGUAGCUGGCUGAGAGGAUGAUCAGCCACAUUGGGACUGAGACACGGCCCAAACUCCUACGGGAGGCAGCAGUGGGGAAUAUUGGACAAUGGGCGCAAGCCUGAUCCAGCCAUGCCGCGUGAGUGAUGAAGGCCCUAGGGUUGUAAAGCUCUUUUACCCGGGAAGAUAAUGACUGUACCGGGAGAAUAAGCCCGGCUAACUUCGUGCCAGCAGCCGCCGCUGUAAC
RNAcentral lists this ribosomal RNA (451 nucleotides) under uncultured bacterium. Its description in RNAcentral is "bacterial SSU rRNA". It matches the Rfam family "Bacterial small subunit ribosomal RNA", at positions 28 to 526 of the family's 1533-position model. The record is from RNAcentral.